This is an RNA transcript of Nelumbo nucifera (sacred lotus), 756 nucleotides long. It is a transcript of the gene named F-box protein PP2-B10-like, with no coding region annotated. The record is from RefSeq and is a predicted model, not a curated record. Lineage: Eukaryota; Viridiplantae; Streptophyta; Magnoliopsida; Proteales; Nelumbonaceae.
GAAUGCUGUCUAGGAAAACAAAUUAUGGAGCUUUUCUCGUUCUCAAUUUUGAGGGAGCACGUGACUUGACACCCACCUGGCAGAGGUGUCCGAGGUUUGUUGGUGGUGGACAACAUAAUUUGUAUCUAAACCCUGGCAAAACAAUUGACUAGUAGGGUCAUGAGAAACAUCUCCUUGACAUGGUCCACAGAGUGGCAGCUGUGAAAUUAUCCCAGUUAUUGUGACAAGAAGAGGAACGGUUCCCUUGCAACCAGGAGAUGGGUGGGUGGAAGUUGAGCUGGACGAGUUCUUUAAUGACCAGGGAGUAGAUGGGAAGGUGGAGAUGAGCCUCAUGGAGGUGAGAGGUGGUCAGUGGAAAGUCUGGCCUCAUCAUCCAAGGAAUUGAACUCAGGCCACAACAAAAUAAAGCCCUUUGCUCUUAUUAUUUACGAGGACAUCUUAGUUAUGGACCUCUUCACUUCAACGAUGAUUCUGUAAUUUAGUAGAUUGAAAUAAAGGUAAAAGAAGGCAGUCCAGACAUGGAUCGAUCAUGCAAGCUUACCAAAUUAAUGGUUGUGACCUGGGAGUUGCAGAAGAUUGAAGGAGCCACCAGAAGCAAUACAAUUCUCUUCUUCGCACAUCUUCCCAGCACCUGGAUGUUGAUCAAUAAUUGAUUUUGUUUUUCUUUUGACAACUGAUAUGGAUGUUGAUCAAUAUGGUAUCUGGAAUGGACCAAGAAUUUUUAAUGCUAAAAUAUUCGAGUUAAAUUUUCCAUUA